Molecule: ribosomal RNA, 489 nt
Filed under: Triticum aestivum (bread wheat)
Lineage: Eukaryota; Viridiplantae; Streptophyta; Magnoliopsida; Poales; Poaceae
Description: partial small subunit ribosomal RNA
Source: RNAcentral
AUGUGUGUUCCAAAAGACCUAGGUGGAAUGGGUUUCCAUGAUAUACACUGUUUUAACCUGGCUUUGCUAGCGAAACAAGCUUGGCGCCUCUUGGAAAAUCCUGAAUCCUUAUGUGCAACAAUCCUAAGAGCAAAGUAUUUCCCGGAGGGCGAUUUGAUGAGCGCGGUAUUAAAAAAGGGCUCCUCUUUUACGUGGCAAAGCAUUAUGGCGGGAGUGGUUUCACUCAGGAAUGGCUAUAUAUGGAGAGUCGGAACAGGAGAAAAUAUUGACAUAUGGAGAGAUGCAUGGAUCCCAAAUUGUGCAGAUAGGAAAAUUAUUACACCAAGAAGGGGGAAUCUCCUAACGAAAGUUUCUGAGCUUAUUGACCCAAUCACGAAUUGUUGGGAUGAAGAUUUGGUGAGACAAACUUUGUGGCCAAUUGAUGCCUAUAGAGUCCUAGCGAUCCCGAUCCCUAUGCAUAAUAUGUCGGACUUUAUUGCUUGGAGCUAA